This 163-nucleotide ribosomal RNA is filed under the name uncultured bacterium. Its description in RNAcentral is "partial 16S rRNA". It matches the Rfam family "Bacterial small subunit ribosomal RNA", at positions 355 to 511 of the family's 1533-position model. The record is from RNAcentral.
UAGGGAAUCUUUCCACAAUGGACGAAAGUCUGAUGGAGCAACGCCGCGUGAGUGAAGAAGGGUUUCGGCUCGUAAACUCUGUUGUUAAGAAGAACAUAUCUGAGAGUAACUGUUCAGGUAUUGACGGUAUUUAACCAGAAAGCCACGGCUAACUACGUGCCAG